CUCAUAGGUCUGGAGGUUAGAUAAGAGGACAUCAGAGAUUCCUUACAGUACUAACAUUCUAGAAUGCCAUGACUUCAGCAUACUGGCUUUUAAAGUACAAAUCACCUUCAGAAGAAAAUCCCUUUGUCUUUGGGUUGAGCAAGUAAAAGACCCAGGGAGAGGUGUGUGUGUGGCAUGAGGGUGGCAGAGGAUACGCAGACAAUUUGGCUCAAUCGUGCUGUCUCUAGAGAAACCAAGGGACAUUGAUGCAACCUUGGAAGAUGUUAUAAAGAUACCAUUUUGCAGAUGAUGAAACUGAGGUUCAGAGAGGCCCAAUAGUCGACACAAAACCAAGGUGGGAAUGUGAAUCUGUUUUUCAUUCCGUGACCCUGUGGUGCCCUUCUCUACAGCUGUUCAUCCACAGACCUUCAAAGGAUGUGCCACCAGUCUCAGCUAUGCAGUAAACAGUCCCGGCAAAGGAUCUUUGUGCAGAUUUGUGAUUAAAGGCAAACAAGAUAAUGAGUCCCAGGACCAGGGGAGAGCAGUCCGCACUCUCAUGCAUUCCUCAAUUCACAUGGCCCUGGAAACCUUUCAGUGUGGCAGUGGCUGUGGCAAUCACUCUGCCAACUGCAGAAUAAAGGGUCCUGUCUGGAAAUGCAAUUAUUUCCAAAUAAAAGGUUUUUAAAAGACACACACGAUAGCAUUUUUGGUUUUCAGAAACUGAUAUACCAAAUAAGGACAAAAAUUAACUUUGUAAAAAAUGAAGAUGAUGAAGACAAUGAAGAGAUGGUGAUGAUGAUGAUGGAUGAAGAUUGUGGUGAUAAGCAUGAUGAAUAUAUUGAGAAGGUGAAGAUGAUGAAGAUGAAGAUGGUGAUGAUGAUGGUAGCAGCAACCACCAUUUUCUGAGCACAUAAAUGUGCCACUCACUAUGUUGGCUACUCUAUAGACAUUAUCUCUAAUUAUUACAAUAACCCUGUAAGACAAAGUUUAGCACCUCCAUUUAACACAUGAGAAACUGAAGCUCAGAGAAGUGAAGUAACCUGCCUGAGGUCACAACCUUAGGCAUGAAAAAGGAUUGACAGAGAUUACUGCUUGAAUUAUUACUCCAAAUCCUGUGCCUCUAACCACUAACAUAACCACUUCAUUUGUUUACUCCUUCAUUUAUUUAAAAAAUUUAUUCAUCUAUUGAAUGAAUGUUUACUUGGUCUCAGAUAUACCUAUGAUACCUGCUAGACCUUCCUAAUCCCCAUUUGUCAAGAAAAUGCCACCACCCUCACAUUAGGGAUAAAUGAAAAUGAGGGUGAA
This 1284-nucleotide long non-coding RNA is filed under the name Homo sapiens (human). RNAcentral's name for it is "HSALNT0364022". Lineage: Eukaryota; Metazoa; Chordata; Mammalia; Primates; Hominidae. The record is from RNAcentral.